Oryctolagus cuniculus (rabbit) is the source of this 1382-nucleotide non-coding RNA. NCBI's taxonomy places the organism in Eukaryota, Metazoa, Chordata, Mammalia, Lagomorpha, Leporidae. The record is from RefSeq and is a predicted model, not a curated record.
AAGAGCACUGCAAGACCCUCACUCACAACACCACACCGGAAGCGCAGGCAACCUUUCCUCCCCUCCCAGCCGCUGGUCACCGCGGGGCCGAAGCCCCCGGAGCCCUCCACAGCGGUGGGAACCGUCCAGAGCCGCCUCCCCAGCCCAGCCAGGGCGGCAGCGUGUGCCCAGGAACCCGGGCGCCCAGCAACAGCGUCACAAUCCCUCCGUCCUGUGUGAGCACGCGAGGAACGGCCGUCUACACCUGACUCCGGGUAGCCGGAGGUCCCACUCCUGUCUCGCUCGCGGCUUUGGCAGAGUGGCUGGACUGGACACGGGUUCUGCGCCUUCAGCGACGCCGGGCAGCUAAGGCCGGGUCUUCCCGCCUCUCUGAGGUGGUGGCUUGCCGUCGCAGUCUCCAAACUCCGAUUCCUGAACCCGUGUUGGACAUCCCCUUGCGUUUCCUACCAGGGAGUCGACACCUUUACGCCCAACGGAGCUGACAAAAGCCGGCAGCUCAGGGGGCGGCUCCCAGGUCUGAUCAGGAAGAGAUCAACAGGAAGACAAAACGGAAGUGAGGCCGGAAGCCGACUCCUGGAGGCCCUGCCAGGGCACGUGCAGCUCCUACAGACUCCUGGGACCUCACCUGCCAGCGCACCUGAAGCCUUACCUGGGCUGGGGGAGGCUCUGUGAGGCCCCGCUGGUCACCUAACUGCUGGUUGGGAUUCUAUCCCGGCCUCCAUGGGGUGAGGGUGUGGUGGCUGUGCUGGGGAAGUCCCCAAGCUCCUGCCCACUGAGCCCAUCACCUGCCCAAGUGCUUUUUUUAAAAAAAUUUAUUCUAUUUAUUUUAAAUAAUAAAGCAUGUAGGAGAGAUCUUCCAUCUGCUGGUUCACUCCCCAAAUGGCUACGAAGGUCAGGGCUGGGCCAGGCGGAAGCCAGGAGCCAGGAGCUUCUCUGGCGUGGGAGCAGGGGCCCAGCACUUGGGCCCAGCACUUCCACUGCUUUCCCAGCCACGUUAGCAGGGAGCUGAUCGAACAUGGAGCAGUGGGGACUGGAGCUGGCACUUACAUGGGAUCCCAGCGUGGCAGGCAGCCGGCCCCCAUAACCUCCUCACCGUGCUGAUCCGAUGGCAGGAGCCAGGUGCUUCUCCUGGUCUCCCAUGCGGGUGCAGGGCCCAAGCACUUGGGCCAUCCUCCACUGCCUUCCUGGGCCACAGCAGAGAGCUGGCCUGGAAGAGGUACAACCGGGACAGAAUCUGGCGCCCCGACCGGGACUAGAACCCGGUGUGCCAGCGCCGCUAGGUGGAGGAUUAGCCUAUUGAGCCGCGGCGCCGGCCUCUAUUUGUUAAGUAUGGAAUAGCUCAGGGUUCUGGCCUUUCGUACCCCAGGAAAGGAGAGAUGGAA